RNAcentral lists this ribosomal RNA (440 nucleotides) under uncultured bacterium. Its description in RNAcentral is "partial 16S ribosomal RNA". It matches the Rfam family "Bacterial small subunit ribosomal RNA", at positions 338 to 795 of the family's 1533-position model. The record is from RNAcentral.
CCUACGGGAGGCUGCAGUGGGGAAUAUUGCACAAUGGGGGAAACCCUGAUGCAGCGACGCCGCGUGAGUGAAGAAGUAUUUCGGUAUGUAAAGCUCUAUCAGCAGGGAAGAAAAUGACGGUACCUGAUUAAGAAGCCACGGCUAACUACGUGCCAGCAGCCGCGGACAUACGUGGGGGGCAAGCGUUAUCCGGAUUUACUGGGUUGAAAGGGAGCGUAGACGGCAGCACAAGUCUGGAGUGAAAUGCCGGGGCUUAACCCCGGAACUGCUUUGGAAACUGGGCAGCUAGAGUGCAGGAGAGGUAAGUGGAAUGCCUGGUGUAGCGGUGAAAUGCGUAGAUAUUAGGAGGAACACCAGUGGCGAAGGCGGCUUACUGGACCGUAACUGACGUUGAGGCUCGAAAGCGUGGGGAGCAAACAGGAUUAGAUACCCUUGUAGUC